Molecule: ribosomal RNA, 305 nt
Filed under: Melampsora euphorbiae
Lineage: Eukaryota; Fungi; Basidiomycota; Pucciniomycetes; Pucciniales; Melampsoraceae
Description: eukaryotic LSU rRNA
Rfam family: Eukaryotic large subunit ribosomal RNA
Source: RNAcentral
UAGACUUCAAAUCAGGUGGGACUACCCGCUGAACUUAAGCAUAUCAAUAAGCGGAGGAAAAGAAAAUAACUAUGAUUCCCUUAGUAACGGCGAGUGAACAGGGAGAAGCCCAAAUUUGUAAUCUGGCACUUUUUACGAGUGUCCGAGUUGUAAUUUGUAGAACUGUUAUCCGUGCUGGACCAUGUACAAGUCUGUUGAAAAGCAGCAUCAUUGAAGGUGAAAAUCCUGUAGAUGAUAUGGACUACCAGUACUUUUGUGAUACGGUUUCUAAGAGUCGAGUUGUUUGGGAAUGCAGCUCAAAGUGG